Molecule: long non-coding RNA, 3325 nt
Organism: Prinia subflava (tawny-flanked prinia)
Lineage: Eukaryota; Metazoa; Chordata; Aves; Passeriformes; Cisticolidae
Exons: 2
Source: RefSeq, a predicted model, not a curated record
AUAAUUUGGUUUACUAACAAAGAUCAAAUUACAGAAUUUCGAUAAACCCACCAACAGCGGAGAUACUUAGUCUUUUUCCCGGGAAAAUGCCAAGGGUGAACCGUGAGAUACAGAACCUGGCAGGGUUCGGGGCUUAGUUUUUAUACACUUUAUUCUGCCCUCGGCAAUAUUUCCCCAUAUUUCCCUUUGUUUCCCGGCUAGCUAUUCAAAUUCAAGGGUGUCUCCACCAGGCUGAAAAGAGUUCUUUCUCUCAGUUCAUAUGUUAAUGUCCAGUUUCUAUAGAUCCUUAGGGCUGAUGAAUGGUCGAGAUAUGGAUGAAGAUGCCUGAUGAUCUGUGAGGGUGUCUUGAUGGGUCUCCUCCUGGUGCUCGAGGAUGCUGCCGGUUUCCUGUAAACCUAUUGUCUCUUUCUGAAUGUGAGUUUCUCGGGUGAAGCCUGCCUUUUCAACAUUUGGUUUAGCCAAAUGUUACAAGGUGUCCUGAAACUUACAUUUUCAUAUAACACACACAGAUAUACAGUUUUAUAGUUUUCAAUAAUAUUUCAUUAACUAUAAGAACAUGAAUUAAUCAUUUCACAUUUUUCACAUGCCCUUAGAAAAAACAGAAAUAUGUAGGAAUGCAAGGAUGCUUGAUAAGAAGGAGAGUGUUUACCCAAAGCAGGAGACAAGAAUGCAAGUGAACCAAAGAUACUAAGAUAACAGGCGCCUUGCACCCCCGGGUGUUGGUGGAGGGUUAAAAAAUAUAAUUUCUGGGUUGAGGUAUGUGUAGGGGGAGGAAAGUAGAGAACGUACAACUGGAACUUGACGCAGCUAGCUCGGAACAAGCGUCAGCUUCUGCAAACAGCUCCAUGCUAUUGUAAUGACCGAAUGAAGUGUGACUGCAACUCAGGGGAUAAUUGAGAAGCAUUGUUUUAACCAAAUCAAGUGUGGAUCAGGGUAGAAGCGUAGGUAUGAUUUAAGAUAGUAACUAAGGAAUAGGAUAAUCAGUAUCUAGGGGUGGGGGUUAGUUAACAUGUGUAUAAUUUAAACUAUAAAAAUCACGAAUCGACUCUGUAUCCUUUGGACAUCAGAUUUGGGUGUAUUAUCACCCCUGUGUCCCGCGCGCUUGAAUAAAGAACCGCAUAUGAUCGCCUUCGUGUGGUUAUAUGUUUUCCUACGCUAACAUUUUUGGCGACCCAGGACGGGACCUUGUGGGCUCAGCCAGGACCCCGCGACCCGAUCACGCUCCAGCCGGCACCGGGUGAUUUCUCGGGGAGCCCAUCGGAGCCGCGACCCUCGCCGCUCACAACGACCCCUGGUGAGAGGGAAACAAGAUGUGUAUAAUUAUGUUCUGUCCCUCGGGAAAACUCUAGCUCGGCUUCGAAGUGUUCUCGUGUGGAACAGACCACUGGCCCUGGAGAAUCCAGUCCACAAUAUCGAACCAGGAGAUGAGGUAUACAUCAAAACCUGGAACGAAGAACCACUAAAAGAGAAGUGGACUGGUCCCCAUCAGGUACUGCUAACCACCUUUACAGCAGUCAAAGUGGCUGGAGUGGAACCCUGGAUACACUACACACGUGUGAAGAAGGUCCCUUGUGGAGUCCAGUCGUGGGCUGUAGAAACUUUUGGACCAACAAAGCUGAGGCUGAAACGUCUGUAACUGUUCAAAUUGUAUUGGUAACUGUGCUCAUGCUCUUCCUAUGGGUAAUGUUAAUUUCAUGGAUACUAAUGUCACCAGUAGGGAUUGCUGUUACUUUGGGAUAUGGGAUACAGAAGGGUCAACUAACAACUCUUCAUUUUAGAAUGAAGAGAGAGAUACAGGCAAAGACACAAAUAAUAGAAAUUUCUAAUGAAAUUCGGGCUGAGAAUGUAAUGAUUGGAUUGGUCAGAGACUUUGCCAAAAUGCAUAAUACCAGCAGAAUAACGGCCUGUCUGCCAAUACCAAAGGCAGCAGGGGACCCAGUAAGCUGGGGAAUAAUAACGUCAAAAUUACCUGAAAUAGGAGGGAACAAAACAAUUAACUGUAAACAAGUACCAGAGUCAAGGGUGGUGGUCAGAGAAUACUGGAAGAUAACAGAGAAUUCCUAUAUGCAACCCAUGAGAAAGUCAGAGUGCAUUCUUAGUAAUGGCAAAUUGGGACAAAUCAUAGAGUGGUGGGUUAAGGACCAAGACCUUGCAAAAUGGCAAUGUUGGUUUCUACACUAUCAAAAGAUCAGGGACAACGCUACAGAAAGUGUUGUGGUGUGGAAAUGUGAAGAGAAGGAUUGGAAAGGACUGGAACCUUGGGACAGUGCAUGGUCUGUGAGCAUCCUCCAGAAAUUCCAAUAUAUGGAAAGCACACCCUGGUGCAUUAAAUGGAAAGGCUCUGAAAAUGAGACAGAUCCCACAGUGACGAAUACUGAUACUAGCAGUCAGAAAGAGGCAAAUAAGGUAAGUUGGUGGGUAUGUAAGAAAAUUUAUGAUUGCACCUCUGAUAAUCUGGAAAUGAAACAGUGGUCACCAUUGGCAAUAGCCUUACGAAUUGGUUGUGCCUGCAGGAAAAUUAAACACAAACAAGGCAAAAUAGAUUCUAAGAUUAUAGUAGGAUGUAGCAGGAGUACAAUUCGAAGUUCAGGACCAUUUGUAUGGGCAAUGAGUGAUGGCACAUGGACAACACACUUGCCUAUGGACGGGGAGGUAAGAGAAAUCACCCUGGGCCUUCCCACUUUAUGUCCAAUUUGGAAGAAAUCCCCAUUUAACGGGAGCAGUGAAGCCUUGCAAAUAAAAGCAAAGCGAGACGUCUCAGAAGACAAGAACCCAGAUGACACUUGGAAGGAACCCUCUAGUGGAGUAAAGAUUGGGUGGGCCCUAGAAUCCUUGUUUGGGCCCAUUGCAAAUUAUCGAAAUAGAGAAAUGCUAUAUAGACUCACAGGUCAGGUAGACAGAUUAGCAAGAAUCACACGAGAGGGAUUUAGGGAACUCAAUGUGCAAUUACAGGCCACCACCAAAAUGACCCUGCAAAAUCGUUUGGCUUUAGAUAUGUUACUUUUGAAAGAACACGGAGUGUGUGGAUAUUUAAAGGGACAAAUCGACCAUUGCUGCAUCCACAUCCCAAAUGUAACUGCAGAUGUAGAACAUGACAUCAGCCAGUUAAAACAAAUAGAGCAUGAGGCACAAAAGGAACAAAAGGAUUUAGCUACUAGCUGGUUGGGUAAAAUCUUUGAAGGAUUAGGAUGGAAUGUGAGUUCAUGGAUAAAGUCUAUCCUUGAAAAUCUGAUAAUUUUACUGAUUAUAUUUUUAGUAAUUUGGUUAGUUUACAGAAUCCUGAAGAGAGAGAUACAGAAAAAGGCAUCUUGGAACAGGACCAUAA